This is a long non-coding RNA of Pseudophryne corroboree (corroboree frog), 527 nucleotides long. RefSeq lists it as uncharacterized. The record is from RefSeq and is a predicted model, not a curated record. Lineage: Eukaryota; Metazoa; Chordata; Amphibia; Anura; Myobatrachidae. The transcript has 3 exons.
UAGGGAUGAAGAAGGGUGAAGUGCUAAGAUUCUGGUCAUAGUAAUCAUUGGUUUGUUGCCCACAGAUCUAUCACUUUGCAUUAUUUAAUCCGGGAGCCCAGCAACCGUAUUACAACUAAAUUCGAGAGAUGGACAGACAAAGCCAGAGUGGAGAGGAAAUAUCACUCGAUGAUGUGGAAUUGAAGACGGCGAUGGAAAAUUAUAUGGGCAGAUGCUUUAGGAGAUCUGUGAUUAAUGCUACUUUCACUCAGAAGCAAGCUCUGCCUAUUGCGUGUGUACAGUGAGCAGAUAGAACUGUCCGAGGUUCCAUAUCCUGGGAGCAACUCCAAGAUUUCUCGAUACCUCAUGAAAAAAAAAAAUACCAUCCAGGACUCAGGCAAAAUGUCUGGAGGCACAGAUUCCAUGAUUAUACAGUGUUAUAUGUUGGUGUUAUAGAAAUAAAUGAUACAACUAAUAAUUAUUGUAAAUAGUAAAAGUUUUAAAGGAGUGCUUUAUACAUCUGAAAACAUACUCGCCUUUUGUAUAGU